AUGCUGCUGUGGUUGCUGCAGGUUGAUCCCCACAAGCUGCUGCAGUGGUGGCAGCACAGGCACAGGGGCAUUUCGGCAGGCCGCAGCUCGGUGGCCAGGCUGAGGCAGCAAGACUUGGUCCCUGAUGGGGUGGGGACAUGCCUCCUGCCACUGCGGGGGACCGCACACACUCAGCGCCCACCAGAGUGGCUUCUGGGCUGGGAGAUUCACGCCCUGAUAUAUGGCUGCAGCUGCUCUCACUCUCAACCCCUUCUCAGCAGCUCUGCCUCAAGUUUCCACACGCCACGCUCCUUGGACUUACCAGUCUUUCUGAAAAGCUGAUGGGAUGACAACGUCCUCACCAGCGUGAGCAUUCCCAGGUCUAAGUCCUUUCCCAGGCUGCAGUGGUUUCUCUGCAAACCUAGCCCCACACUGUUACUCCCAGAAGAGCCAUCGCUGGAGACGUCUGCUCCUCCCACUCAACCCUGUCCCCAUCAAGGGUCUUUCCCUCUCCUCUGAGUCUCAGCUGAGUGGGACCAGCAAACAUGCUUCUGCUGGCAGCACUUGUGGCCACCACAGCUUGGUUUGAUGGACUUGCACAGGAAAUUCCCAUACAGACCCCUGUAUCCAUAACCAAAUCUCAAGGCAGUACACGUGUGCUGUGUCAUUUUAAACGUGUCUCUGCAAAUUUUGAUAACACCAUCAUUCACUGGUACCAACAGAAGGGGAAUAAAGCCCUAGAGUGGAUGUUCUACGUUACAACAAGGAUUACAAGAGCAGAUAAGAGCUUCCAAGGGCGCAGGUAUACAGUUGAAACGGUUUCUGACCAGAAAAUGUGUACUCUCAUAAUAAAAAGCAUAGUUCCAGAUGACACAGCUACCUACUACUGUGCCUACUGGGACUCUCACUAUGACAGAAACCCAGCGAUCACCUCGACCAAUACUCCCUCGGAGGCUCAACCACAAACGAUUUGAAAGAUCCCAACUCACUUCCCCCAGCGUGGAUGAGCCGCCCGGCCUCAACACGCAGGCUCUGCACAGCCGGGACUGGCUCGGCGCUGAGCCACUCCUUGGAGGGGGCAGCUGCCAAAAGCUGGGGUUUUCAAAUGAGCGAGUGGCACGUGCAAAGGAAACAGUGAAGGGCAAAUGCCUAACUCAACCUCAGCACCUCCUCUUCCCCUGAUUUUACUCAAGUGAGGAAACUGGUUUACUCAAGCAGGGAACUGGUUGUAAGGAUGUCUUUACUGGACAGGGGAAAUCUUCCAUGCCGCUGUUCCUGGAAAUAACUCAGCAUGAUGUCCUGGAGCUUUUCAAAGCCCGUGGUUUGACACAGAAAACUGAAAGAAAAAUUUCCCUUGAAAGCUUGAGUGCUUUCAAAAUCCCACUGAGAUGAGGGGGAAGACUCCCUCUGACUUGGAGUGAGAAAGUCCCAUCGAUCCAGGGGCAUAAAUUGGGAGACUUACUUGAAAGGGUUGGGAAAAUUACGUGUUGAGUAAGCAACUGGUUUGUACUUCAAGAAAGGAAUGUGGCAGCAUCAGCAUCAGGAAACUGUCAUUAUAAAGCCUAUCCUUGAGACAUUCUUAAUGGGGAAGCAGUGGAGAUGGCGUCAAGCCGGGCAGAGGGUUGCUCAUCAGCACGUGUUCAGAUCUUGAUAUUGAAUGUGUAAUCAUGAGAUUUGGGCUUGCCUGAUAAAUGCCAGAUGAUAGAAAAAUUCGUAGGCCCAUGUGCAGCAUCAGAUUUGGGAAUCAUACACUGCUUGAUGAGAAAAUUAGAUACUAAAUAAGCACAAGACAUAGAAAGAUGUUUAUAAAUAUAAAGAGGAAACUAAAAAUAGGAAUGUGAGUGUAUUGCUACCGAUGUCCAGAAGAUGUCAUGACUAGAAAGCAUUUCUGUUUAAGCUAGUGAGCUAGACACAUAUCCCAGGUGCUCAGUUCUAGUGUGGCACCCGGACCAUGGGAGGUGGCUAAGUACAAAGACAGCUGCCCCUGAUGGGUAGAGAGAAAGGCCACUUUCUCAGGGAUGUGGGAAAUGGCAGGGGUAGGGCCAGGGACCAGAAGGCUUAUUUGAGGGCUGAGCAUGCUUUUGCUGCAUAUUUCUGACUUUUAAAUUACUGCAGCUUUCAGUAACAGUUUGAAAGCAUUGCCACAUCAUUUGCAGCAUGGGGAAACUACUCUUCCUACCCCCACCACCACAGGAAGAGGGAUUUCAGGUGGAAGCUCUCUUAUCUCGUCUCUCCCUCCAACAAGCAAAGAUAUACCCAGGUGGAGAUGAAGCAAGAGGAACC
Molecule: long non-coding RNA, 2262 nt
Filed under: Anas platyrhynchos (mallard)
Lineage: Eukaryota; Metazoa; Chordata; Aves; Anseriformes; Anatidae
Description: lncRNA (ENSAPLG00020016886.1)
Source: RNAcentral